ACUCUGCCUCGUGCAGAGAGUGGGAGGCCGGGAAGUUGUUCAAACUUGAUCAUUUAGAGGAAGUAAAAGUCGUAACAAGGUUUCCGUAGGUGAACCUGCGGAAGGAUCAUUACCGAGUAGCUACCUACCUCCGCUGGCCGCGAGUCAGUGAAUGAGUGGGGUGUUUACUACCGUGUGAACCGACUGAAAAAUUUUUUAGGGGUCGGCUCGUUCCGUUAAAAGGGGAGCACCGUGAUGAGCCACCAGCUGGCUGGCUGGUGAGCCUCGCGGUGGGCUCCUGCCCCGACAGUGUUUUUUAAAAGGACACAUUUGAUGUAAAAGACUGAGCGCAGUGAGAGAGAUAUGUUCUAACAUAGAAAAAUGAAAGUGUGACAACUUUUGACGGUGGAUCUCUAGGCUCACGCAUCGAUGAAGAACGCAGCCAGCUGCGAUAAGUAGUGUGAAUUGCAGAAUUCAGUGAAUCAUCGAAUCUU
This 473-nucleotide unclassified non-coding RNA is filed under the name Stylophora wellsi. RNAcentral's name for it is "sequence contains ITS1". The stretch from base 374 to 473 matches the Rfam family "5.8S ribosomal RNA", at positions 1 to 100 of the family's 154-position model. The record is from RNAcentral. Lineage: Eukaryota; Metazoa; Cnidaria; Anthozoa; Scleractinia; Pocilloporidae.